CUUGUGGUCUCAGAGCUAUGGCAGCCCUAACACCCCAAGGAACAGAGCCCUGGCGGUCCCACGGCCAUGCAGCCUGGCAACCCUAGCAGCCCUGGGGAGCUGCCAACACCCUUAGCUACCUGAGUUUAACCCUUUAGUUACCAAGUACUGGCCAGCACUCCUCCUAUCCAUUACAUACUCCCCCAAAUCACAGGUGGUGCUGGACAAGGCUGGCCCACACUAGCUGUGAUUUCUUCUUGGAGGUCUAGAAUAAAAUAUAGUUAAUAAUAUAUAUGUACAUACUACUCUCAAUACUGAGUAUACAAAGAACUAAACAAUACUCCCACAUGCAUGGAACACAAUGACUUAGAUAUAGGGAGAGUAUUAAUUGGCUUAGUCUGGAAAACUUUCACAAGAGUGCAUCAGCCACUUUGUUACAACACAUCUCAGGAGCUCCUGUGUCAAAGUCUUGGAGAGCCAAACUCUACAGAAGGAAUUUCUUAUUAGUCUCUUUGACUUUGUGAAACCACUGAAGAGCAGAAUGGUCAGACAAGUGUUGUCCCCAAAUAUAUGGUCAUAGAGGUUAGAGGAUAUACAAUGGUGUAGCACUCCUUCUUGGAGAUAGACCAGUGGCUUUCCCUCUGUGUUUUUUACUGAUGAACACAACAGGGUGGAAUUGUUGAUUUGCCCUGUUUGCAUCAAAACUGCCCCCAUACCACGCUCUGAUGUGUCUGUAGUGCCGAAGAAAAGUUUGUCAUAGUCUGGGGCCCUUAGGACAGAAUCAGACAUAAGAACAGCCUUAAGCGGCUUAUAAGUUUCCUGACACUUCUCAGUCCACUUAACCUCAUUUGGUUACUUUUUUUCUGGUCAGGUUUGUCAGUGGUGCGGAGAUCUGACUAGUGCGAUACAAAUCCCCUGUAAUAUCCUGCCAAGCCUAAGAAGGAUUGGACCUGUUUUUUUGACUUAGGGACAGGCCAGUUUUGGAUAGCCACUACUUCAACCUGUACAGAGUUGAUAGUCCUUUGACCCACCUGAUGUCCCAGACUGUGCCAGGAUGCAUGUAGUGAAUGAAGCAGGGGAAAGUAAGAAAUAAAAGAAUGGCUUCCUGAUUAAGGCAGGUAUGAGAAGGUGCCAGUGAUUUUAGUUGGUAAUAAAGUGGACCUGGAGAGUGAGAGAGAAGUAUCUUCGAAUGAAGGCAGAGCUCUGGCUGAAGAAUGGGGCUGUCCUUUUAUGGAGACUUCUGCUAAAAGUAAAACAAUGGUGGAUGAGCUCUUCGCAGAAAUCGUUAGACAAAUGAACUAUGCAGCUCAGCCAGACAAAGAUGAUCCAUGCUGUUCUGCAUGUAAUAUUCAAUAGCAUUAAAAAUGACCUACCUGGACCUAAUUUACAGAAUUUUUGUAAGGUGGUAAAACUGUCUGCCUCAUUUUCUGGUUUGUGGGUCACUUGGAAUAAUUCAUAAGUAACAACAUUAAAUCAGAGCUGAGCAUUGAAAGUGAAUCAAUAUCUCUGAACAUAAUAGGGUUAAACAACAACUUCUCACCCAGUACCCCUUAGUGCACCUACAACUUCAUGUCCUAAUCAGUUGAUCUACAGGAUGAUCUCAGUUGAACUAUAUGUGUUUGCAUUAUGUCAGCAACAGCUGUUUCAUAAAUUAGAAGAUUCCUGGUGAUGAAAAUUGAAAGCGAUAGAGAGAAGACCUGCAAAGAUCACAUGCAACUAGCAUAGUCUAUACUGAUAAACACAAAAGGAGGGGAAAGUCUUUCAGUGACGAUAUUCAGGAGUAGUACUUUUGCUUGAGGCCAAGUUUACACAAACAAGUAUCCUAUUUUCAUCUGAACUUCUGACAGUUUUACAGGCAAAUAUGAUCUACAAGGCCUAUAUAGUUAUUUUUCAAAAUUGAUGCAAUUUCUACACUUUAUCCCACCUUGUGAAAUAGAAAGCACUGCAUCAGUACUUUAAAGAAGAGAGAGACGAUCUGAAAAACCAAUGGCUAGUGAAAAAACAUAAUAUGGCAUUGGAAUGUUUAAAUCUUCCACUUUGCUGCUCAAGAAUGGAGGAUCACUUCAGGUUUCGGUCAGACAAAAAGCCAAACAAACCCUCUGUUUACAAAGCAGGAAACAUCUUUAUCACUUUACUGAACCAGGAGGAAGCAACUGUGAUGAAAAAAAUCGUUUAGCCUUACUAACAAGGAACACUUUAAUAGAUUAACUAGUACCAUCUUGUAAGGAAAACAAAGCCAUGUUACAUCCAGAUGUUCCCUUUUGCAGAAACCUCAUGGGACAGUAUGAACAUCCUGCAUUUUUAAGUUUGCUAAAGAAGACAAUUUCUUUCUUGCCUUUAAGGGCUAAAGGGUGGGGUUUUUUUUUGUUUUUUGUUUUUGUUUUGGGUAUUUUUUGGUGUGAUCCCUAACUAACCUUUGGAAAUCAAGUUUGCUAUUUCAUAGCUUUAAUGUUGGCAACUUUGUUUGAAUAACCAUAUGAAAUCAUUUUGGCUCACAGGAGGAAUAUAGGUUAUGGUUAUCCUGUAAGGGUGAGAGGAAACAGUUUUUGUGUAAUUACUUGACAUGCUAUUCAAAGAUUGCCCUGAUUAUUGGAGUAUCAAAUAGUGGAAGCAAAUAUUUUGUUUUGCAAAGGUGCUCGAGCUCUGGCGUUCUAGUUUUCUAGCUGUGAAGUAUUUAUCAUUUGCAUGACUAAUGGCACAGAAUUAUCUAUUCUGAAGUCUUACAAUCAAGUAUAGAAAAGUUUUAAAUCAAAAUGUCUAAGUUUUAUUUGUUGGAGCAAUUGUCUUGAGCUGGACCUUUAUAGUUAAAAUUUGGUCAUCAAAAUGCAAUAUCACUGAGCCUGUGGUCUAAAUACCGCCAUGCAUUAUAUUAGUUUCUCAGUCUUGUGCAGUAACAGUGUAGUUCCUUGUGUGUAAAUGAGUGAAAAUGGGUGCAUGUGUUGGGUGUGUGUAUCCCUCAGAAAUGCUGUAAUUGGAGUUUGGUUCUGACAGAUUUGCCUCCAACAGCAGAACUGCUUUAAAAAUGCUCUUAAUCUCUGAAACGAGAAACUCAAGUAUAAAACAGCUUCACAAAAUUUCUUAUAGUAACAAUUUUAAUCUUGUUCAGUGGGUGACAGCUAAAGGAGAUAUUAGUAAUGGAAGAGAACUAGCCACCACUGCCCUUAGUCCUUUUAAAGGAAACAAAGAUGUUCAGUGUAAUAAAUGUUGAGUCCCUACUAUUCAGAUUUUUUUGAAUCCUUGAAAUGUAGAUCUUUCCUUCUAGCUAAUUUCUACAAAAUCUGAUGUGUUUGCACCUUCUCCCACCUAAUUUUAACCAUGUGUCUGCUUAAUCAAAUUUUGAAACUUGAAUCAGUAGUAUCACCCUAUAAUAGCUAUAUGGAAGAAGGAUCUAAUGAAACUGUACAAUUCGUUAAUAAAAUAGGCAGCUUGUCCAUUUUUGAGACCCACUGCCUGAGCAUUCAGAAACAUCAAAUUUGAUACCAAAUUAUUGUUUGGCUUGCAUGUUGAGCAAUACUAUGCAUAAAAUGCUAAGAUCUUCUAUAAAAAUUGCUGUGCAACCAGUAAAUGGUAUAAAUAAUAUGUAUGAAAGGCUUACAUUGAAGUGUGUAAUGUAAAACAGAUUAAUUCUUAAUUUAGGAAAAUUGCACAAGUAAAAUUCUAAACAGAAAACUUUAGUUAAAAAAAGAUACUUCUGAGACAUAAAUGCAACAUGGAAAGGAAAAAUGUAGUGACUAAGCAACACAUAUACCAUCACACAACAUUGCGCGGGGCAGGGCAGAGGAAGCUAAAAAUGCUCUUUUUAUUGUAUAAUUCUGAGGAGGAAGUUGUGCACCAUUUGCAUUUCCACUGAUGUGAAUAUAGUGGAGCUUGAAUCAAUGACAGUUGCGUUUGGCUAAGAUAUUUUUGAAAGCAUAAGGAUAGCAAGAGGAUAGUAAAGUGAGCCACAUCCAAGAUAGAUGGCCACCUGGAGAAAGUCAGUGGUCUUGGGUCACCUCUUACUUUGUACCCUGAUCAGACUACCAAUUAUAGUAUGUGAACAUUUUUUAUAACAUGCCUUAAAAUAUUAUGGUUUGAUCCAAAGACCCAUGUUUUCUUUAGCUGUUCUUGUAGAGUUUUGUACUUUUCUACAAAGACAGCAUUAAGUUUUAUUGGUCUUUUUUUUUUUUUUAGUGUUGCAACUUUAAUUUUUUUCAGAUGUGAUAGUAGUAGUAACUGUUUUCUCCUGCUUUUUAAAAGUAGGCAGAACAAAUUAAACCAGCAUCAGAUUAAAAGUAUUACACCUGGGGUUUUUUAUUAGAGCAUCAAAGACAGCUUUUGGUGACUUUCUGUUGUGGGUUGGCCAACAAGUAACUAGCCUCUCUAACCCCAGUGCUACAGUUGCCAUCACUUUUCUGUGGGAAAACUACUGGCAUUUGCUUUCCUGUAUGAAGAAUGUUGCCUAAAGAUGUCAGCCAUUUGAUUGGGGGUGGGUUAUGCAUGUUUGGUUUUUUUUUUUUUUUUUUACCAGUGUAGAAUCAAAGCACUGGUGAGGUUUUAAUGGUGCGCAACAAAGCAUAUGUUUGACAACAGCAGGCGGCUUUUAUCUGCAUUGUUGUGCAUCAGGUCUCAAGAAUGAUUGCAGUGGGUUUUGAACCAGGUUUAACGGUAUUGAUUUGGGGUUUCCCAGAGGUGAAUAAGUAUAUUUCACAGUUAAUUGAGCUCUAGUACAACUGGCAACCUAAAGAUGGAGCAACAAUUUAUUGUUUUGUAACAAUGUCAAUUGUUAAACCUUGAUGUUUCAAAUAAAACAAGAAUUGUACAUAGAACUCGAUGCAAACUCAGCAGUUGUAUUUGGAGUUAAAUUAUUUUAACAAAUAAAUUUAUUUAAUGAAACUUG
Molecule: non-coding RNA, 4855 nt
Organism: Pelodiscus sinensis (Chinese soft-shelled turtle)
Lineage: Eukaryota; Metazoa; Chordata; Testudines; Trionychidae
Source: RefSeq, a predicted model, not a curated record